Non-coding RNA from Triticum aestivum (bread wheat), 135 nucleotides. Lineage: Eukaryota; Viridiplantae; Streptophyta; Magnoliopsida; Poales; Poaceae. The record is from Rfam.
UUUCUACUCCCUCAGUCCAAAAAUUCUUGUCUUAGAUUUUUCCAAAUACGGAUGUAUCUAGUUACGUUUUAGUGUUAGAUGCAUCCGUAUCUAGACAAAUCUAAGACAAGAAUUUUGGGACGGAGGGAGUAUUAA